UUGGACAUAUCAUACGUUCCGGUGAUUGUCUUAGAGAGAGAUAUGGCUUCUGUUGGAGCUAAAAGAGGUAGGGAUGAUGUGGAUCGUAAUCCGAAGAAAACGGUGAAAGGAACUUCUGCUGUACACCGUCCGACUAGUAAGGCUUCUGUCGGAGCUAAAAGACUCACUGAUGAACAAGUUAAUGAGUAUUAUAGACAGUCAUUCAGCAGUCAGAAUGCCUGAAGGAAUUGGACCCUAUGCGCUGUUUAAUAAGCAUCGUCAGAAACUUGUGAAGGAUAUGAUUCAGCGAUGCUUGCAAUUCUACAAUGACCAAAAAGUUGUGUCUAUGAUGGUUUUUGCUUUAUUGUGUUUUAUUUAUGUCUAUAAUCUCAUUCACUAAUGAUUAUUUUUAUUGUUGUUAUUACUAUCUAGAAGGUGCAUAGUGAGCCUCGUAAGAUUGUCAAGGUUAAUGUCCAAUGUGUUGCCGGUGCUCCCCAUGUUACCGGCCUAAUGUAUACAUUACUUUUAUUGCACACAUUCGUCUCUGUGGUGCAGUGACAUUUCGUGGCAAAAUAUUGAAAAAAGUUAUCUCCCGAUGUCGUUGCUUGGAUGGUAUCCGCAAAAGCCAUCAUUGAGGAAAAUAAGACCUCCACCUGGAUUUUGCCCUACCCAUAGCCAGAGGGAUCUCUUCUUGCAACAUGGAUGCUUUGUUGACGGUAGAUUUAAGUAAUGUAACUAAUUCUUGGUAUGAAUAUGAAAUGUGGGAAGAAUUUUCAUUUUCUUUGAGUAACUAGUGUGAGAAAAUGAAAGGUAGUAAAUGUAUCACAAUUUGUAUUAUUUUUAAGAGUAAAGUAUAUUUUUUGUCCUUAAAGU
Long non-coding RNA from Arachis duranensis, 852 nucleotides. RefSeq lists it as uncharacterized. The record is from RefSeq and is a predicted model, not a curated record. The transcript has 3 exons. NCBI's taxonomy places the organism in Eukaryota, Viridiplantae, Streptophyta, Magnoliopsida, Fabales, Fabaceae.